GUUCAUGUACAAAUGCGAUGAGAUUAAACUAAAAACAGUAAUUGCAGGACUAAUUUCAAUGCACAGAUUAAGCUGGAAAUUGAGCCUAGGGUUUACAAUCAGCUAUAGAAUUUUUAAUUAGGACAUUGAAUUUGUCGUCUGAAAGCAGCAGGAAAAGAGUGCUACCCAUUUGGCCAUACUCAUAACUUAGAUUAGAAUAUUGAUUUUCCAGUUCCCCAAUUACCACUCUUUUUGAUACUGUGCAGCCUGUACUCCAAAGCUAGGACAGUAUACAAUUUUUUAACCAUUGCCAAAUUAAUUAAUGGUUGCCCUAGAUCUAGCUUCCCCUUCUCCAGCAUUUUCCUCUGUAGACAUGCAAGGGUUCAGCAUAUAUUAGUUUAAAAGGGGAACUAUUUUUUUAAUUGUUAAUUUAUGUUAUCUUGUUUGAGUUUGCACUUCAUAUAUUAGUGUGUCUUCUUAUAGUUUCCAUGUUAUAAAGUAGGAUUUUGGACUGAUUCUUGAGCCCUUCAUACAGAUUUGAGUAAAUUAUUCCAAUGAUAAUGAAUUUUGCUUCACAAAAUUUUAAAUUAAUUGCCAUAAUUUGGUCAUUUUUAUUGCAAUUAAAAUACCCAAUUCCAGUGAGAAACCCACCAGGAAUCUGAUGUAACAUUCAAUUUACUGUAGAAUUUUAUUAAGAAAAUUGAAGAUUAUAGUUUUUUUCAGUUGAAAAGCUGUUAGAUUAGUUUUUGAGGUUUUUUCUUUUGGUAUUGGA
RNAcentral lists this unclassified non-coding RNA (751 nucleotides) under Hevea brasiliensis (rubber tree). The record is from RNAcentral. Lineage: Eukaryota; Viridiplantae; Streptophyta; Magnoliopsida; Malpighiales; Euphorbiaceae.